Molecule: small nuclear RNA, 97 nt
Organism: Ailuropoda melanoleuca (giant panda)
Lineage: Eukaryota; Metazoa; Chordata; Mammalia; Carnivora; Ursidae
Source: Ensembl
GUGCUCCCUAUGGCAGCACAUAUACUAAAACUGGAGAAGAUUAACAUGGCCCCUGCACAAGGAUGACAUGCAAAUUCAUGAAGCAUGCCAUAUUACG